Molecule: ribosomal RNA, 471 nt
Filed under: uncultured bacterium
Lineage: Bacteria
Description: bacterial SSU rRNA
Rfam family: Bacterial small subunit ribosomal RNA
Source: RNAcentral
UGGGGAAUUUUGGACAAUGGGGCAACCCUGAUCCAGCAAUGCCGCGUGAGUGAAGAAGGCCUUCGGGUUGUAAAGCUCUUUUGUCAGGGAAGAAACGGUAGUAGCGAAUAACUACUACUAAUGACGGUACCUGAAGAAUAAGCACCGGCUAACUACGUGCCAGCAGCCGCGGUAAUACGUAGGGUGCAAGCGUUAAUCGGAAUUACUGGGCGUAAAGCGUGCGCAGGCGGUUGUGUAAGUCAGAUGUGAAAUCCCCGGGCUCAACCUGGGAAUUGCAUUUGAGACUGCACGGCUAGAGUGUGUCAGAGGGGGGUAGAAUUCCACGUGUAGCAGUGAAAUGCGUAGAUAUGUGGAGGAAUACCGAUGGCGAAGGCAGCCCCCUGGGAUAACACUGACGCUCAUGCACGAAAGCGUGGGGAGCAAACAGGAUUAGAUACCCCGGUAGUCCCUGAGCGGGCUGGCAAGGCGCAU